Non-coding RNA from Mycena epipterygia, 97 nucleotides. NCBI's taxonomy places the organism in Eukaryota, Fungi, Basidiomycota, Agaricomycetes, Agaricales, Mycenaceae. The record is from the annotation of a GenBank genome assembly.
GACCUAGUAGCGGAGGGCUCGCGCCUACUUCACAUAUUGCAGGUCCUCUGAAUAUGUCACAGGACAGGAGUCCCUGGUUCGACUCCAGGCGAGGUCA